RNAcentral lists this long non-coding RNA (959 nucleotides) under Volvox carteri. RNAcentral's name for it is "long non-coding RNA (VCAR_LNC001600)". The record is from RNAcentral. Lineage: Eukaryota; Viridiplantae; Chlorophyta; Chlorophyceae; Chlamydomonadales; Volvocaceae.
UCGGACUCCAACCCAUCUUGUUGCUGAGAGGAGGACCUCAGGUGGUACUCGUUUGCUCGUUUGCAGGAAGCUCAUAAAUGCUGCUGAGGAGGCGGGUAUACUAAUUAUCUUUUUAUUGUCGUUUGCGAAUGCAACCUCUGCCCCAGUGAUGUGCGGCUGAGCAGUCGAGGCAAGAAGCUGGUUUGUAGCAUAGACUACAGGACAGGUAUAGGAUGUGUGGCCAAUACAAUUAAUUCUUAUAGCGUCCUACGAAGCCGCGAUAGCAAGGGAAGAAUGAAGCAGGAAGCAUGGUCUUUCGACACGCAGACUCGAUGGACUUUUUCACGUGCUUCCCUUACACAUGUAAGGUGUCCCUUCAUAUUCUUUCCAUCUCCUGAAAGGUAAAUAUCGUAGCUGACUUCGUCAGCUACAAUCCUAGUCUACUAUAUAAACGCGAGGGCGAACGGCUAGCUGCAUUUCCCACGCAACACAUCAUUUUCUCAUGGUGACCACAUGCGCAUGGUAAGAGACUAUGCGUCCUAAACCAUCCGCCUGGAAACAUCAUUUUGUUACAACAUAGUCGUUUCCUGUACCAGCGCGCGCGUGACGGUCCUGCCAGUUGUAUCGUGCUUGGCUAGUCAUAGCCAACAUUGUUUGUGCUUCUCUCGUGCUAGAAGACUUGCGCUCGUAUAAUGCGCUCAUCUCGUGCAAGACGAUUGGAGAAGCGUAUUAUACACAUACCCCGACUUGAAACGAACGUCCUUGACGGACACGUAAGAAAAAAGCUGUCAGUUUUUAUUGACUAUUGCCAGAGUGCAUGGCGAACCACCCGCAUCCACCCAUUGUUAUCGAUCCGCAUUGCGCUAUUCGCAUAUUGGUCCAUUUUGCGAGCCAUCCAAACGCAAUUACUUCUCCACGAACUUUGCAGAUGCCCACCGUUCUGACGGCAUCGCGUGUACAUGCUAUCUUCAAUAUCGUAC